This 707-nucleotide ribosomal RNA is filed under the name uncultured Pseudomonadota bacterium. RNAcentral's name for it is "bacterial SSU rRNA". It matches the Rfam family "Bacterial small subunit ribosomal RNA", at positions 28 to 724 of the family's 1533-position model. The record is from RNAcentral. Lineage: Bacteria; Pseudomonadati; Pseudomonadota.
AUUGAACGCUGGCGGCAGGCCUAACACAUGCAAGUCGAACGGUAACAGGAAACAGCUUGCUGUUUCGCUGACGAGUGGCGGACGGGUGAGUAAUGUCUGGGAAACUGCCUGAUGGAGGGGGAUGACUACUGGAAACGGUAGCUAAUACCGCAUAACGUCGCAAGACCAAAGAGGGGGACCUUCGGGCCUCUUGCCAUCGGAUGUGCCCAGAUGGGAUUAGCUUGUUGGUGGGGUAACGGCUCACCAAGGCGACGAUCCCUAGCUGGUCUGAGAGGAUGACCAGCCACACUGGAACUGAGACACGGUCCAGACUCCUACGGGAGGCAGCAGUGGGGAAUAUUGCACAAUGGGCGCAAGCCUGAUGCAGCCAUGCCGCGUGUAUGAAGAAGGCCUUCGGGUUGUAAAGUACUUUCAGCGGGGAGGAAGGGAGUAAAGUUAAUACCUUUGCUCAUUGACGUUACCCGCAGAAGAAGCACCGGCUAACUCCGUGCCAGCAGCCGCGGUAAUACGGAGGGUGCAAGCGUUAAUCGGAAUUACUGGGCGUAAAGCGCACGCAGGCGGUUUGUUAAGUCAGAUGUGAAAUCCCCGGGCUCAACCUGGGAACUGCAUCUGAUACUGGCAAGCUUGAGUCUCGUAGAGGGGGGUAGAAUUCCAGGUGUAGCGGUGAAAUGCGUAGAGAUCUGGAGGAAUACCGGUGGCGAAGGCGG